RNAcentral lists this unclassified non-coding RNA (4783 nucleotides) under Melitaea cinxia (Glanville fritillary). RNAcentral describes it as "misc RNA ENSMCXG00005017790.1". The record is from RNAcentral. Lineage: Eukaryota; Metazoa; Arthropoda; Insecta; Lepidoptera; Nymphalidae.
CAUUUUUGUUGCGUUUAUACUUUUAAAUAAAACUGCUGAUGACUUCGGAUUCCUUUUAUUGUAACGUGGACGCGACAUUUACUAUUAACGGUCUGACAGUUAAGUGUGGGAGAGGGACGGCGGACAGUUGACAAGACAUAGACUAUAUACAAUAUUUUUAUACUAUGUAACAUCUCCCUUUUUAAAGAAAACAAACUUAAGUACAUUUUUUUUUUUUUUUUUUUAACAUCUCCCUUUUUAAAGAAAACAAACUUAGGUAAGUACAUUUUUUUUUAAACAUCUCCCUUUUUAAAGAAAACAAACUUAAGUAAGUACAUUUUUUUUUUUUUUUUUUUUAACAAUUUUACAAACACAUUUAAGGCUACUUUAAUUUUCAAAAGUUGUCGUUUCCGAACGCUAUUACAUGACUUACACUAUUUUGUGACAUCUGUCAUAUGUCAUGUGACAAUUUUCCUGUCAAUGUCAAAUGAUCAAAAUGAAAUGUAAACAACUUCAGGACAUAUGAAAAAUACAAUUAAACAAAUUAACCUAUUUUAAACUACAUUAAUUAAAAUUACACUUACACACAAAUAUUUCACUAAAUACAAUAAACAACAAGUUUAUGUUACAAACCCAUACCUAUUGACUGGUUUAUAAACACGUCCAUAUCGAGAUCGUGCCUUUGAAUGCUGAUGUAUUUGUGGAUCUGAUACAGUGUUUCCAUUUUUAGAUACUGGCUGAGACUGUGUUGUGUGCUGAUAAGACUGUGUUGUGUGCUGUUCAGAGUUUGGUGUAUGCACCGACUGUUUCAGGAUAAACUGACGGUUUCUCCUGAACCUACCUUUUUCACUAUCAAUGAUAUAGCUUCUAGGUGUGGGACCUACUUGAGAAAUCACUCCGGGCAACCAAUUUUUAUCUUCAGGUUUGUGUUUGAAGAAGACUUUUUCACCUAUAGCUAAUGGUUUUAAUAUUUUUGUAUGUUUAUUGUAAUAAAAUUUAGAAUAAGACUUCUGUCUUUCAUUUCUUUCCUGUACCUUUUUAACAUCACAAAGCCUAGGUUUUAAAUUAUAUUUUACUGUAGGAAUGAUUGUACGUAGCUUUCUAGACAUACUUAACUCAGCAGGUGAGUAUUGACUUAGUUUAGGGGUAUUUCUGUAUAGUAAUAAUGCUAAAUACAUAUCUGACAUAUCUGUUUUACACUUUCUUAACAUGUUUUUAAUGGUUCCAAUAGACCUUUCAACUAGACCAUUGGACCUACUUAAAUAUGGACUUGUAGUUAUAUGUUCUAUAUCCCAUUCCUUAGUAAAUAAACUAAAUUCCUUACUAUUGUACGGAGGACCGUUGUCCGAGAUCAAAAUCCGGCAGAUACCAUGUCUUGCCAGUAUUGACUUUAUUUGUGUUAUCACUAUACUAGCUGUGUAACCUGACUUUAACAUGGCCAGCUCUAUAUAUUUUGAGUAAUAGUCUACGACAAUUAGGUAUUUUGUUCUUUCAAACUCAAAAAUAUCUACACCAACUUUGUACCAUGGUAUGUUUUCAUACUCAUGUUGGAUAAUAGGCUCUUUACUAUUAUUUCUACGAUAAGAUAGACAAAUAUUACAUUGACUUACAUACUUUUCUAUAUCAGUAUGCAUAUUUGGCCAGUAAACUGUAGUUUUAGCUAGACGAAUAGAUGCAUUCACUCCUUGAUGACCAGAAUGAAUUAUUUGUAAUAUAUAAUCUCUCAUUGACUCGGGUAUUAUAAUGCAAUUAGACUUGAAUACUAUAUUAUCAAUUACAUAUAAUUGAUCUUUUAGAUUAAAAUAACAUUUGACUGACUGACUGACUGAUCUUUUAUGCUCAGGCCACCCAUUUAAACAAUAUUGUAUAAUUUUACUCAAAGUUUGGUCUUUGACAGUAUGCUCUUGUAACUCUUUUAACUUUUCAGGACUGACUGUUAAAUUUGACAUUAUUAAAUUGAUAUGUAGAUCUAUGUCUUGAUCUACUUCUGACAAACAAGUUUCAUUCAACGCUGCUCGGGACAGUGUAUCUGCAAUGUAUAGGUACUUGCCUGGUUUAUAUACUACAUUUAAAUCAUAUGGCUGCAAUCUUAACAUAAUUCUUUGCAAUCUUGGAGGUAUAUCAUAUAAUGAUUUUUUGAAUAAUGUUAUAAGGGGUUUGUGGUCGGUUUCCACUGUUACCCACUGACCAUAUAUGUACUGAUGGUACUUGGUACAACCAAAAAGUACUGCAAGCAAUUCUUUUUCUAUUUGUGAGUAUGAUUGCUGACAUUUUGUUAGUGAUGCUGAUGCAUAUGCAAUUGGUUGCUUGUCAUGUGACAAAACUGCACCCAUAGCAUCUUUUGAUGAAUCUACAGACAAAAUUAGUUCUCUGUUUGGAUCAUAAUAUGUUAAGACUGGCGUAGAACUAAUUAUCUUUUUAAUGUUAUUAAAUUGGGCUUCAUGGUGAUCUGACCAACACCAUACAGUAUCUUUCGACAAAAGAGCUCUUAAAUGACUAAUUUCCUGUGACAAAUUUUUUAUAAACGGACCAAGAUAGUUGACCAUACCUAGAAAUCUUUGUAACUCUGUAAUAUUCUUUGGACUCUGCAUAUUGCAAAUAGCUUCUACUUUUGACUUAUCGACUUGUACUCCUGCCUUACUGAAUAUAUGACCUAAAUAUUUUACUUGUUCUUGACAAAAAACUGAUUUUUCUUUGUUAAAUCUUAAAUUAAUUUGACGUGCCCUUUGUAAAACUUUUUGUAACCGUUCAUUAUGCUCUUCUAUAGUCCUACCAUAAAUAAGAAAAUCAUCCAUCAUAAUUUUGACACCAUCAAUAUCACCAAAUCUUUUUACCAUUUCUCUGUGAAAUAUCUCUGGAGCUGCAUUGAUACCGAAAGGUAAUCUAGUGAACCUAUACCGUCCAAAGGGUGUAAUAAAUGUACAUAGCUUUGAAGAAGCUUCUGUUAAUUUUAACAUCCAAUACCCUUUAUUGGCAUCUAAUGUUGUGAAAUAUUGAGCUCCGGUAAGACUUGAUUUAAUUUCAUCUAGAGUUGGAAAUUGAAAAUGAGAUCUUAAUAUUGACUGAUUAAGUUUUCUAGGGUCAAUACACAAACGUAAUUUACCAUUCCUUUUUGAAGUUAAGACUAAUGCACUUACCCAUUCCGUGGGCUCUUCGACUCUUUGAAUAACUCCACUCUGCUCCAUGGCUUCCAGCUCUUGCUUUAGUGGUUGUUGUAGUUGGAAUGGUACCCUUCUACACGCCUCUAUAAACGGGGUUGCAUUGGGUUUCAAGGUUAACUCACAGUAAAAAUCUGUAAGACAACCUAGCCCUUCAAAUAAGUCUGCAUUUGACUCAACUAUGUCUUGACAGUUUAUCUGGAAGGACACACUAUUAACUUUUUUUACUAGAUUUAAUGACCUACAUGUGUCUCUGCCUAUUAUAUUUUGGCAUUUUAUGUCUACUAUAUGAAAUUUAACUGUAUAACAUUUAUUUUUGAAUGUAAUUGGCAACUGACAUUGACCUACUAGAGGUAUAACCUCUCCACUGAAUGUAGAUAGUUUAUUGGGACUUCUGCAAAUAGUAUCAUGCGACAUGUUUAGUGUGUUAAAUGUGUGUAUGGAUAUUACGUUUGUGUCUGCACCUGUAUCUAGGAUAAAAUUCACAUUAACAUGGUUAAUCAAUAUAUCAACAUUCCAUGGCUUUGACUCAUUAUUUUGAAUACAAUAAAUAUACCCGACAUACAAAGAAUUAUUAUUAUUAUUUUCUAACAUAUUUGUCUCUUCAAAUUGGACACGUUUAAUUAGUUUAGACCUACAGAAAUUAGCAAAAUGGUUGAAUUUUUUACAUUUUCGACACUGAGCACCUUUUGCAGGACACUUGUACCUGUGCACUUGUCCACACCUAUCACAUGUGUUCCUUGAUCUUGAUGUAUUUGAUGCUGAACGUCGGUACCUUGUUGUGCUCCUUGGUAUUGCUGCUUCACGACGGGAUGGGGAUCUCGAGACUCUUCCUAUAAAGUGUAGUGAUGCAUCCUCCAAUGCUUUAGUUUGCUGCUUGGUUGCUUCACACCUUUUGGCUAUAUUGACAGCAUCAUCUAGCGUCUUGGGUUUCUCUAUCAAAAUUCUUUCUUUAUAGUAUGGAUUGUUACAGUUCCAGCUGAAAAUAUCUUUUAAUAAAUCCUCCCUGAGUGCUCCAAACUCACAAGAGUGACUGAUGUUCUUUAUAUCUGUGACAUAUGCGUCGAUUGACUCAUUUGGUGCCUGUUUCCUACUAAAAAGUUUGUGACGCUCGACUGUAAUGUUAAUCUUAGGUGUGAAAUAAUUGUCAAAUUUAUUGCAUAGCUCAUCGAAAGACAAGUUGUCCAGGUCUAGGUCAAAAGAAUAAUAGAUCUCGAGUGCAUCCGACCCUAUGAAAUUAAGGAGAAUCGCUACCUUUCUACCGUCUGAUUCAUUGUCUAAAUUGUUGGCUCUUAGGUAGACUUUUAGCUUAGUAAGCCACUUCCUCCAAGCUAAAGGUAAGUUAUUGGAUGUUAAGUCGAUCGGCGCAAAUGUACUUGUUAUCGGCAACAUGUCUGACUUACUUGUUUUAAUUCGCGGCUGCGUGUUGACAAAUUUUCCUGUUUUCGACAUAUUCUAUUCUCACAGCACUUCUGACACCAUGUUGCGUUUAUACUUUUAAAUAAAACUGCUGAUGACUUCGGAUUCCUUUUAUUGUAACGUGGACGCGACAUUUACUAUUAACGGUCUGACAGUUAAGUGUGGGAGAGGGACGGCGGACAGUUGACAAGACAUAGACUAUAUACAAUAUUUUUAUACUAUGUAAC